UAAACGUCUUUCUCAGUCACAUGCUUCGUGUCCUUGCAGUCAAGCUGCAGAGACUCAGUGUGCAAUACUGCCACCACUCCCAUGAUGCAAGCUAUCUUCAGAUAAGAUUAAAAGCUAUCUAGAAGCAGAAGUAAGCCUGAUGAUCUGCAUGCAAGAAAGUAUUUAGGAAUAAGCCCAAAACUUCUACAAGUCAAAUGUUGUCGCCCCCAUCAAACCAGGUAAACAUUGAAUGCACUGUUGCUUUCUUCUACACUGCUGAAGAUCAAUUGAAAGCAGCAACAACAAAAUUGAAUUCAGGUUGGCCAGCUCCAAGCAGUAAUACUCCAAGAGGGAACACACCAAAACAAGAGCAUACACAAUAAUUCUACAUAAACCAAUAGAUUGCAACCAACACAAUGAUCACUUGAUUUCUUGAAGAACUUCUGGAAUCAAGUCCCAGUAUACUGGAGCCAAGCAAUAGACACCCCAACUAUGUUUAGAGCAAUAAACCACUCGAUCAAAUAUGCCUUCCAAAUAAUGAAGAUGGAGUAAUUAUAUCUUAAUUUUAUUCUCCAUGGAGGACCGGGCCUUCCAUACUUGGUAGUUCUGCAAGACUCCUCCAAGAACUGAAACUUACCAAAAACAAAUACUUAAAAGGUUACUUUUUCAAUUGGUCCCUAACUUGCUAAAUUUUUCUGAGUGAGUCCUCCAAAAACUGAAAUUUACCAUGGUAUAUUUUACUAACUAUCAGGGUACAUUUGGAAGAACAAUUUAAUCAAAGUUUCUAACAUGCUUAUUAAAUGGGAGCUUAGUUAUAAAACUUAACUGCAAAUUUAGGCUAAAAAGCUUAUUUUGAUAAAUUUGCUCGUAAGACCUUUUUCAGCUGAAAAAAAAAAGGCCUCAAAGGUCGCAAGACCAAAUAAACCCCUUAAAUCACUCACAGAUGUUUUCAUAUAGAUUAUAUUGGCUAACGCCAUUUAGACCCGAUUGAUGCUUGUUUAAAGUCAAUGUAGGCCUUUUUGCCGUUGCUGCAAUCGACUUUAUUAUAAAAGUAUAAAUAUCUAAUCAAAAUUUUACACACCAAAAAUGCCUAUUUGAGAAUUCAAUGAAACUAAAGGACCAAUAGUUUAACCUAUUAUUGAAAUUUCAUUCAAUCUGCGCUUUCAUAGAUCCCUUUUGGUUAAAUUAAUUUUUGUUUUCCUUCUUCUUCUUAUUUCAGUUAGCUUACUUGACAACGUAUUCGUUCAAGGUCGUGACCCCUUUGCAAAAGGAUGGUUCACACAAGUAAAAAGACAAAUCCAUAUUAAAGAUUCAAAAUCAUGACGUCCUUGUCCAUAUUCCAAAUAGGUUUCUCUCCAAUGGAAACUUCACUAGGCCGUAGAUGAAAAGCGGGACGGAAGAAAAAAGAACACGAAGAUCGUUAUAUUGAUAAUGAGGAAUGCUAACAGUCUCUGACACUCUCUUCCCAAGACUUGGUUAGAAUUUAUUAGAAAUCAUAAUUUUCAGUGGUUAAAUUUCUAAAUCAGGAGAGAAAAAUAAGAGGAACUCACCAGAAAGUGUUUUUUGAACAGCCGAAGCAUCAAGCCAACCCUUUCACUGUUCAUAUAGGCAAAGAAGCAGAUGCAUAAUCGUCAUGAAUUAUGCAAAAGGAAAUUCCAUAAAUGCUUCAACCAAACUAAAUUUCUAUCAUAUAUCUUUUGUCGCCGCUAAUAGAAGGUAUUAAAGACAGACUAAAAAAAAGGUAUUGUAGACAAAAGGCAAGGAUACGGUAAUAAAAAUGUGCUUUUCGGGCAACUCUGCCCUUCAGAAGUAAAGGGAUAAUGUUUUGAUAAAGGGAAUCCUCUGAAAUUACAAUACCCUGCAAAACAUUUCAACUCACAAUCGCAUGCUACCGACAUCACCAGCAUCACCCUUCUACCUCAAAACAUUUGCAGCACAAAUCCUCUAUAUUAUCGACUGGCAAAGAAGAGGUAUAGAGAUUCUCCACAAUAGAACAUCUCCAUAAGAUUAGUACCAAAACUGGGUAGUCCAAGUCUCACCGUAAUGCGAAUAUGCGACUCCACAAACAGAAAGGACGAUUAUAGUAGUCGGAGAAAUAGAAUCUACCUCUUACAUUUAUAAGACUCAAUACACUACUGUAAAUAGCUGAUUGUGAUUCUGCGUUUGAAUGCAGAAUACACUCACGAGAUUAACGGAAGAAAUAGCAAAAGCAGAAAACGCUCAGCCCCUGAAUUUUCAUAGAUGCACAUACAUACCAUCAUAUACAAUCUGAACUAUAUACAAAACAAUAACAUAAACGCAAUCAAUACUUCCCAAAGCAUUUAAUAACACACAAUUCAAGUCCAAAACUAACCGUCCAUAAAAUCAUCAAACACCACAAAGAAAGCAAUCCCACACAUUUUGUCAAUUGACAGCAUCAAUUCAACCAAGCUUUCCCGAUACUUGAAAUGAUGCUGCAUUUCUAGAAACAAAGCACAGCACAAACUUAAAGAGAAGAGAAGAAUAAAAUAAGCACAAUAGCAGGCAAAGGUAGCAAAGAAAGAAGAAGAAAUGGUGGAAAUUUUAUGAUAGUACUACGAACUUUAGAGCCAGAGAGAAUGUUGGGCGAUCCAAUUCAAAAUAUAGAUACGACGGUGGUGUCCCAAAUCGAAAGUAGAGAUUGGUAUCUCUCCCCUGACCCAGCACAAAAGGAUGUGGAGGAGGAACACAC
Molecule: long non-coding RNA, 2689 nt
Filed under: Vigna radiata
Lineage: Eukaryota; Viridiplantae; Streptophyta; Magnoliopsida; Fabales; Fabaceae
Description: long non-coding RNA (VRAD_LNC003811)
Source: RNAcentral